UACGGGGGGGGUAAGCGUUGUUCGGAAUUACUGGGCGUAAAGGGCUCGUAGGCGGCCAACUAAGUCGGACGUGAAAUCCCUCAGCUUAACUGGGGAACUGCGUCCGAUACUGGAUGGCUUGGAUUUGGGAGAGGGAUGCGGAAUUCCAGGUGUAGCGGUGAAAUGCGUAGAUAUCUGGAGGAACACCGGUGGCGAAGGUGGCAUCCUGGACCAACACUGACGCUGAGGAGCGAAAGCCAGGGGAGCAAACGGG
Molecule: ribosomal RNA, 253 nt
Filed under: uncultured bacterium
Lineage: Bacteria
Description: partial 16S ribosomal RNA
Rfam family: Bacterial small subunit ribosomal RNA
Source: RNAcentral